AAAAUAAAAAUAAAACAAAGAAAAUAAAAAGAAGAAAAUAUGAAUUAUGGCAGAAAUAUGAACUUUACGCGUACGUCUGUCCUAAUAAAGGGUCUGAAUAUUCGUGUGAUGAACUAGCUACUACUAUACUUUUAUAGAUUUCUCCAUGUAAUUUUAGUAAUUAAAACCUUUAUAAAGUUGCGGUUUAUUUCAUAAGCAGCAUUAUAGUGAGUACAAUGAUAAAUGUUUUUAUAUAUAUCACUUACAAGGUAGCUCCCAAGGGUCGAAUUGAUAAAUGUUUAAAUCCCCUAUAGCUUCUACUAGGCAUGAAUUUCCUAGCAACUUGUUUCUUAGGUAAAAUCCUAGGAGUUCCUCUUUCUUCUCUGGGACGAAACUCAUAGCCGACGAUCGACAUCAUUUUUUUUUUCUUCUUCUUCUUCUGAAAAUAAUGAAUAUUCUCAAGGAAGACGAAGUUCUUUUUUUUUUUGUAUGUAUGUUCGGAACAUGUGGCCCAGUUUUUUUUUUUUCUCAAUAAGUAGCAUUAUUGUAGUCUCCGUUCUAAAAAUCCCCGCCUAGUCUGAUUGUGUUUAUAAGGUCGUGAUCUCAUGUGUUUAUGUUUUCACUUUCACAUUCACGUGUUAUAUAUAUAAUUUUAGACGUAUUGUCCAAGAAAUAUAUCAGAUAUUAGCAAAACAAAAAUAAAGAAAAAAGUAAAUUUUU
RNAcentral lists this small RNA (699 nucleotides) under Arabidopsis thaliana (thale cress). RNAcentral describes it as "ATSL298060". Lineage: Eukaryota; Viridiplantae; Streptophyta; Magnoliopsida; Brassicales; Brassicaceae. The record is from RNAcentral.